CACAAAAAUUUAACUAUAACCACUGAACCAUGAAAAUGAGGUCAAGGUCAGAUGACACCUGCCAGUUGGACAUGUACACCUUACAGUCCUUCCAUACACCGAAUAUACUAGCCCUAUUGCUUAUAGUAUCUGAGAUAUGGACUUGACCACCAAAACUUAACCUUGUUCACUGAUCCAUGAAAUGAGGUCGAAGUCAAGUGAAAACUGUCUGACAGACACGAGGACCUUGCAAGGUACGCACAUAUCAAAUAUAGUUAUCCUAUUACUUAUAAUAAGAGAGAAUUCAACAUUACAAAAAAUUUGAACUUUUUUUUCAAGUGGUCACUGAACCAUGAAAAUGAGGUCAAGGACAUUGGACAUGUGACUGACAGAAACUUCGUAACAUGAAGCAUCUAUAUAUAAAGU
RNAcentral lists this long non-coding RNA (405 nucleotides) under Mytilus galloprovincialis (Mediterranean mussel). Lineage: Eukaryota; Metazoa; Mollusca; Bivalvia; Mytilida; Mytilidae. The record is from RNAcentral.